UUUGUCCUACGGGACGCAGCAGUGUGGAAUAUUGCACAAUGGGGGAAACCCUGAUGCAGCAGCGCCGCGUGAGUGAAGAAGUCAUUCGUGAUGUAAAGCUCUAUCAGCAGGGAAGAAAAUGACGGUACCUGAGUAAGAAGCCCCGGCUAACUACGUGCCAGCAGCCGCGGUAAUACGUAGGGGGCAAGCGUUAUCCGGAUUUACUGGGUGUAAAGGGAGCGUAGACGGCAGAGCAAGUCUGAAGUGAAAGCCCGCGGCCCAACUGCGGGACUGCUUUGGAAACUGCCCGGCUAGAGUGCUGGAGG
This 305-nucleotide ribosomal RNA is filed under the name uncultured bacterium. RNAcentral's name for it is "bacterial SSU rRNA". It matches the Rfam family "Bacterial small subunit ribosomal RNA", at positions 333 to 655 of the family's 1533-position model. The record is from RNAcentral.